UACAGAGGUCCCAAGCGUUGUUCGGAUUCAUUGGGCGUAAAGGGUGCGUAGGCGGCGCGGUAAGUCGGGUGUGAAAUCUCGGGGCUUAACUCCGAAACUGCAUUCGAUACUGCCGUGCUUGAGGACUGGAGAGGAGACUGGAAUUUACGGUGUAGCGGUGAAAUGCGUAGAUAUCGUAAGGAAGACCAGUGGCGAAGGCGACUACCUGGCCUGUUAUUGACGCUGAGGCGCGAAAGCUAGGGGAGCAAACAGG
RNAcentral lists this ribosomal RNA (253 nucleotides) under uncultured bacterium. RNAcentral describes it as "partial 16S ribosomal RNA". It matches the Rfam family "Bacterial small subunit ribosomal RNA", at positions 524 to 776 of the family's 1533-position model. The record is from RNAcentral.